GCUGGCGGCAGGCCUAACACAUGCAAGUCGAGCGGUAGCACAGAGAGCUUGCUCUCGGGUGACAAGCGGCGGACGGGUGAGUAACGCGUAGGAAUCUACCUAAUAGUGGGGGAUAGCCCAGGGAAACUUGGAUUAAUACCGCAUACGCCCUAAGGGGGAAAGCGGGGGAUCUUCGGACCUCGUGCUAUUAGAUGAGCCUGCGUAAGAUUAGCUAGUUGGUGAGGUAAGAGCUCACCAAGGCGACGAUCUUUAGCUGGUCUGAGAGGAUGAUCAGCCACACUGGGACUGAGACACGGCCCAGACUCCUACGGGAGGCAGCAGUGGGGAAUAUUGGACAAUGGGGGCAACCCUGAUCCAGCCAUGCCGCGUGUGUGAAGAAGGCCUUCGGGUUGUAAAGCACUUUUAGAUGUGAGGAAAGGUUGCAGAUUAAUACUCUGUAGCUGUGACGUUAACAUCAGAAGAAGGACCGGCUAACUCCGUGCCAGCAGCCGCGGUAAUACGGAGGGUCCGA
This 511-nucleotide ribosomal RNA is filed under the name uncultured Oceanospirillales bacterium. Its description in RNAcentral is "bacterial SSU rRNA". It matches the Rfam family "Bacterial small subunit ribosomal RNA", at positions 35 to 537 of the family's 1533-position model. The record is from RNAcentral. Lineage: Bacteria; Pseudomonadati; Pseudomonadota; Gammaproteobacteria; Oceanospirillales.